ACGAACGCUUGCGGCGUGCUUAACACAUGCCAGUCGGACGGAAAGGCCCUGCUUUUGUGGGGUGCUCGAGUGGCGAACGGGUGAGUAACACGUGAGUAACCUGCCCUUGACUUUGGGAUAACUUCAGGAAACUGGGGCUAAUACCGGAUAGGAGCUCCUGCUGCAUGGUGGGGGUUGGAAAGUUUCGGCGGUUGGGGAUGGACUGGCGGCUUAUCAGCUUGUUUGUGGGGUAGUGGCUUACCAAGGCUUUGCCGGGUAGCCGGCCUGAGAGGGUGACCGGCCACAAGAGGACUAAGAUACGGCGCAGACUCGAACGGGAGGCAGCAGUGGGGAAUAUUACACAAUGAGCGGGAGCCUGAUGCAGAAACGCCGCGUGCGGGAUGACGGCCUUCGGGGUGUGAACCGCUUUCGCCUGUGACGAAGCGUGAGUGACGGUAAUGGAUAAAGAAGCACCGGCUAACUACGUG
RNAcentral lists this ribosomal RNA (467 nucleotides) under uncultured bacterium. Its description in RNAcentral is "partial 16S ribosomal RNA". It matches the Rfam family "Bacterial small subunit ribosomal RNA", at positions 29 to 507 of the family's 1533-position model. The record is from RNAcentral.